Molecule: non-coding RNA, 123 nt
Organism: Exophiala spinifera
Lineage: Eukaryota; Fungi; Ascomycota; Eurotiomycetes; Chaetothyriales; Herpotrichiellaceae
Source: the annotation of a RefSeq genome assembly
CUCCCGAUGGUGUAGUUGGCUAUCACGUUCGGCUGUAAUUGUCUAAUUUGCAAUUGAAAUUUCAAAUUUCAAUUUCAGACCAAUAUUACCGAAAGGUCACCGGCUCGAUUCCGGUUCGGGAGA